UACGUAGGGGGCAAGCGUUGUCCGGAAUCAUUGGGCGUAAGGAGCGCGUAGGCGGCCCGGUAAGUCCGCUGUGAGAGUCGAGGGCUCAACCCUCGGAUGCCGGUGGAUACUGCCAGGCUAGAGUCCGGAAGAGGCGAGUGGAAUUCCUGGUGUAGCGGUGAAAUGCGCAGAUAUCAGGAGGAACACCGAUGGCGAAGGCAGCUCGCUGGGACGGUACUGACGCUGAGGCGCGAGAGCGUGGGGAG
RNAcentral lists this ribosomal RNA (245 nucleotides) under uncultured bacterium. RNAcentral's name for it is "partial 16S ribosomal RNA". It matches the Rfam family "Bacterial small subunit ribosomal RNA", at positions 524 to 768 of the family's 1533-position model. The record is from RNAcentral.